This 269-nucleotide ribosomal RNA is filed under the name uncultured prokaryote. RNAcentral's name for it is "partial 16S ribosomal RNA". It matches the Rfam family "Bacterial small subunit ribosomal RNA", at positions 524 to 792 of the family's 1533-position model. The record is from RNAcentral.
CACGUAGGAGGCAAACGUUAUCCGGAUUUACUGGGCGUAAAGCGCGUGUAGGUGGUUCUGUAAGUAGGGCGUGAAAGCUCCCGGCUCAACUGGGAGAGGCCGUUCUAAACUGCAGAGCUAGAGGAUGGUAGAGGGAGGUGGAAUUCCAGGUGUAGCGGUGGAAUGCGCAGAUAUCUGGAGGAACACCAGUGGCGAAGGCGGCCUCCUGGACCAUUCCUGACACUCAGACGCGAAAGCUAGGGCAGCAAACGGGAUUAGAUACCCCUGUA